CCAAUAGCGUAUAUUAAAGUUGUUGCAGUUAAAAAGCUCGUAGUUGAAUUUCGGGAUCAAUUAAUUGGUCGUGCCUAUGGUACGUACUGAUUUUAUUGGUUUCUCCCUUCUGACGAACCAUGAUGUCAUUAAUUUGGUGUCGUGGAGAAUCAGGACUGUUACUUUGAAAAAAUUAGAGUGUUUAAAGCAGGCUAACGCUUGAAUACAUUAGCAUGGAAUA
Molecule: ribosomal RNA, 220 nt
Filed under: uncultured Glomus
Lineage: Eukaryota; Fungi; Glomeromycota; Glomeromycetes; Glomerales; Glomeraceae
Description: partial small subunit ribosomal RNA
Rfam family: Eukaryotic small subunit ribosomal RNA
Source: RNAcentral